UCUUCCUUCCUCUCAUUCUCUUCUCCCUCUUCUUCUAGAUCAAAUAGAUAUGCGUAUUUUCUCUCUCUAAAAUUUAUGAAAAUUCCUAGAUCCGAAUACCCAAAACAUUGAAUUGAACUUCAAAGUUCAGCAUUAGAUAUAACAAUGGAGUUUGAAUCCCCAACAACAGCAACAGAUGAAGUAAAUGGUGUUACAGUAGGUUUUCUCCCUCUCACCUCCGACUAUCAGCAGCCUUUUGUCUCUGAACUCCUCUCAUUCACUCUCGAUCGCAUCUACAAGGUCCACUCAUUUCCCCAAUCUCUCUAUAUAUCUAUAUAUCUAUGUGUGUGUGUGUGUGUAUAUAUAUAUAUACAUGUGGUAGUAAUAUUUGGUUAAAUUGAUUUUGUUGGGAUUGUAUUUAUGAUUUGAUAGGAGCCUGCGUUUUUACGGAUGAAUGCGGAAAUAAUUCAAAGGCAGAUGCAAAAUGUUGUUGUCAAUUACCACGUUUUCAUUUCUACUGCUGAUGCAUUGCGUUUUAUUCGCGAGGAAAUUUGUUCUAUCGAUAAACAUCUGAGAUUAGAGUACCUAAAAUAUUUUUAUUUUUGAAUUUCUUUUCCAGAGCCAUAUAGAUGAAAAAUUAAUGCCUGCUUAAUAUUUUUAACAGAAUGACUCAAUUUCAAAAUAAUAAUUAGUUUAGUGGGGUAAUUUGAAAAAUUAAAAGUUCAAUGGUGUAAUCAGUAAAACACGUCAACUACAAUGGGUAAUUCAUUAGUUUUGUCGAUAAAAAAAUUAACGUCCGUUUAUUUUUUUUAACGGAAUGACCCAAUUUCAAAAUAAUAAUUAGUUUAGUGGGGUAAUUUGAAAAAUUAAAAGUUCAAUGGCGUAAUCAGUAAAACAUGCCAACUACAAUGGGUAAUUCAUUAGUUUUGUCGAUAAAAAAAUUAACGUCCGUUUAUUUUUUUUAACGGAAUGACCCAAUUUCAAAAUAAUAAUUAGUUUAGUGGGGUAAUUUGAAAAAUUAAAAGUUCAAUGGCGUAAUCAGUAAAACAUGCCAACUACCAUGGGAUUUCAUUAGUUUUGCCGUUGAUGAAUAUUCUAAGAUCCAAAUUAUCCCUUGAGUUAAUCCAAAUCAAACUUCUUUUGGUGCGGACUUUAAUGUCAAAGCUGAGAUGAACAACCCUAUUAUAGGGGAUUAUACUACGUGAAAGCGUUAAAAUAGUUUUGCACAAUACAUUGUACGAAGAGUUGAUUCCCCUAAGUACGAGAAGAAAGGUCCAUAUAGUCUUACGACUGUUAAAGGUUUAAGUAGCGAUAUUUGAUAACCUAGGACAUAGUUCAUGUUCUUGUAACCCUCAGAUGUUCUUUUGAUCCUGAUUUAUAUUAAUGAUUCAAAUGCCGAGUUUUCAUUGAGAUUUCAGUCCUUGAACAUCGUUGAUAGAAAAGAUUACAGUAUUCAGUUGAUCUUUAUUCAUUGGCUAUUCAUCUGUUGUCAUUGUUACUAUUAUACUUGUGGGCAAUUGUUUGCUCACCUUUGCAUAAAAACAUUGCAGUUAAAAUUGAGAAAUCUGACGAGCCAUCCACUAGCAAAAGCAAGAUGAACAAGAGAUGAAG
This 1590-nucleotide long non-coding RNA is filed under the name Panax ginseng (ginseng). RNAcentral describes it as "long non-coding RNA (PGIN_LNC013448)". The record is from RNAcentral. Lineage: Eukaryota; Viridiplantae; Streptophyta; Magnoliopsida; Apiales; Araliaceae.